AAAUCAGCGUAGAUUCAAGGAAUCAUAAUCCUUGUGUCGGCGGUUCAAAUCCGUCCUCCGCUACCA
This 66-nucleotide transfer RNA is filed under the name Aquamicrobium lusatiense. Its description in RNAcentral is "tRNA-Met". It matches the Rfam family "tRNA", at positions 9 to 71 of the family's 71-position model. From Rfam's summary of the family: Transfer RNA (tRNA) molecules are approximately 80 nucleotides in length. Their secondary structure includes four short double-helical elements and three loops (D, anti-codon, and T loops). Lineage: Bacteria; Pseudomonadati; Pseudomonadota; Alphaproteobacteria; Hyphomicrobiales; Phyllobacteriaceae. The record is from RNAcentral.